This 810-nucleotide ribosomal RNA is filed under the name uncultured Desulfobacterales bacterium. RNAcentral describes it as "SSU rRNA". It matches the Rfam family "Bacterial small subunit ribosomal RNA", at positions 39 to 858 of the family's 1533-position model. Lineage: Bacteria; Pseudomonadati; Thermodesulfobacteriota; Desulfobacteria; Desulfobacterales. The record is from RNAcentral.
GUGGCGUGCUUAACACAUGCAAGUCGAACGAGAAAGUUUCCUUCGGGAAAUUAGUAAAGUGGCGCAAGGGUGAGUAUCACGUGAAUAAUCUGCCCUCGAGAUCGGGAUAACAUGGUGAAAACUAUGCUAAUACCGGAUAAGACCACAUUUCAUAAGAAAUGCGGUAAAAGGAGUCUCAAUCUUCACUCGAGGAUGAGUUCGCGCAACAUUAGCUUGUUGGUGAGAUAAAAGCUCACCAAGGCUACGAUGUUUAGCCGGCCUGAGAGGGUGAACGGCCACACUGGAACUGAGACACGGUCCAGACUCCUACGGGAGGCAGCAGUGGGGAAUAUUGCGCAAUGGGCGAAAGCCUGACGCAGCAACGCCGUGUGAGCGAUGAAGGCUUUAGGGUCGUAAAGCUCUGUCAAAUGGGAAGAAUUUUGACGGUACCAUUAGAGGAAGCCCCGGCUAACUCCGUGCCAGCAGCCGCGGUAAUACGGAGGGGGCAAGCGUUGUUCGGAAUUAUUGGGCGUAAAGCGUAUGUAGGCGGCUAAGUAAGUCAGGCGUGCAAGCCCGUGGCUCAACCACGGAAUUGCGUUUGAAACUGUUUAGCUUGAGUGCAGGAGAGGAAAGCGGAAUUCCCAGUGUAGCGGUGAAAUGCAUUGAUAUUGGGAAGAACAUCUGUGGCGAAGGCGGCUUUCUGGUCUGUUACUGACGCUGAGAUACGAAAGCCAGGGUAGCGAACGGGAUUAGAUACCCCGGUAGUCCUGGCUGUAAACGAUGGGCACUAGGUGGAGGAGGUAUCGAUCCCCUCUCUGCCGUAGCUAACGC